This 72-nucleotide transfer RNA is filed under the name Eschrichtius robustus (grey whale). RNAcentral's name for it is "tRNA-Cys". Lineage: Eukaryota; Metazoa; Chordata; Mammalia; Artiodactyla; Eschrichtiidae. The record is from RNAcentral.
AGGGGGCACCUGGAUUUGAACCAGGGACCUCUUGAUCUGCAGUCAAAUGCUCUACCCCUGAGCUAUACCCCC